GCGGGAGUAGCUCAGCCUGGUGAGAGCGCGGGACUCAUAACCCCGAGGGCGGGGGUUCAAACCCCCCCUCCCGCA
This 75-nucleotide transfer RNA is filed under the name Candidatus Thorarchaeota archaeon. RNAcentral describes it as "tRNA-Met". It matches the Rfam family "tRNA". Rfam says of the family: Transfer RNA (tRNA) molecules are approximately 80 nucleotides in length. Their secondary structure includes four short double-helical elements and three loops (D, anti-codon, and T loops). Lineage: Archaea; Promethearchaeati; Candidatus Thorarchaeota. The record is from RNAcentral. RNAcentral also lists the same sequence under 1 other name.